GCUAGCGACGUGCCUAAGGUAUGCAAGUCGAAUGCCGAUUUAUCGGCAUGGCAGACGGCUGAGUAAUACAUGGGAAUCUACCUCAAACUCGAGAAUAGCCCAUCGAAAGGUGGUGUAAUACUCGAUAGUUCCGUUUACGGUAAAGCUCCGGCGGUUUGAGAUGAGCCCAUGUCCUAUCAGGUUGUUGGUGGGGUAAUUGCCUACCAAGCCUAUGACGGGUAGCUGGUUUGAGAGGAUGAUCAGCCAGACUGGGACUGCGAUACGGCCCAGACUCCUACGGGAGGCAGCAACUAGGAAUCAUGCGCAAUGGACGAAAGUCUGACGCUGCGACGUCGCGUGAGGGAUGAAGGUCUUCGGAUCGUAAACCUCUUUUAUCUGGGAACAAGUUCUGAGUGUACCAGAUGAAUAAGUGCCUGCCAACCACGUGCCAGAAGCAUCGGUAAUGCGUGGGGCACGAGCGUUAUCCGGAUUUACUGGGCGUAAAGAGAUGCGCAGGCGCCUUUUUAAGUCACUUGUAAAAUCUCCCCGCUCAACGGGGAAACUGCAAGUGAUACUGAAUUGGCUGAGUCAAGUAGAGGAGAGGGGAAUUCCUGGUGGAGCGGUUAAAUGCGUUGAUAUCAGGAGGAAUACCAAGUGCGAAGGCACCUCUCUGGACUUGUACUGACGCUAAGGCUCGAAAGUGUGGGGAGCAAAACGGAUUAGAUACCCGUGUAGUCCACACUGUAAACGAUCCCUGCUAGAUGUUUGC
RNAcentral lists this ribosomal RNA (748 nucleotides) under uncultured organism. Its description in RNAcentral is "bacterial SSU rRNA". It matches the Rfam family "Bacterial small subunit ribosomal RNA", at positions 35 to 827 of the family's 1533-position model. The record is from RNAcentral.